Gossypium raimondii (Peruvian cotton) is the source of this 963-nucleotide RNA transcript. It is a transcript of the gene named splicing factor SF3a60 homolog, with no coding region annotated. Lineage: Eukaryota; Viridiplantae; Streptophyta; Magnoliopsida; Malvales; Malvaceae. The transcript is spliced from 5 exons. The record is from RefSeq and is a predicted model, not a curated record.
CUUUUGAACUCGGUAAGAUAUUUUUCGGAAAAUGAUGCCUUCUUCUCCCCUUUCCCCUUUCCCUUCCCCUUCCCUUUUCCCUUCCCCUUGGAUUGCAAAUCAGUUUGGUCAAUGACCUCUUCCGGUUCCUCCUUAAUCCAGAUGGUUGAAGCCCAAGUGGAGCCGCCCUAUCCUCUAGAUUAUGAAGUAAGAGCUCUUCGUGAGAUAGCAACAGAACUUGGGAAGAAGGAUUGGAAUUACAAUGAAAACCCUUGCAACAAUAAGUCAAGUUGGUUUACUCCACCGCCGCCGCCAAAUGUGCCUGAGGCCAUUAACAACAGUACUGUCACCUGCAAUUGCUCCUUCCCCAAUGGUGAAUGUCAUAUUGAUGGCAUGCUCACACGGACCUCGACAAAAUGGGUCUACUGCAGUUUCACAAGACAUUAACAGUCUGAAACAUAUUGCAUUGAUGGAGGCCAAGAUGAAAAAACUCUCUGAUUUACUGAGUAAGACAAUUGAACAAACAAAAGAAAAUGUGGUAAAGAAGCUAGCAUUGACGUAUGAGGAAAUGGAACAAGAAUGUAAGGAGGUAAGUUAAUCCCUUGGCAUACUAAUUCAAGUGUAUCUAAUACUAGAACAAAAAAAAAAUGUUGGUUCCAAUUUACAUAUCAUGAAGAUGGUAGUUAUAUAAUUUUACAUUCAUGUGUUUUGCUGAGGGGAAAGACCUGGUUGUGUCUGUUAUGUCUGCAAUGGGGGAAGAGCAGAUCUGUGCUCUCAAAGACAUUGGUCCUAAGUAGUUUCAAAUUCAUUUAUUGCAAAUCUUAGAUGGAACCAUAAAAGACUUUGGUAGUACUAAAUGCGGUUUUGAUGUUUUGUUUUGGGUUUGGAUAGAAAAAAGAGAACAACAAUAUAACUAGUUUCUUGUUGUGCUAUGGAUUACUGUUUUGCUUUUCUUUUUCAAUAAUUUUUAUUAUCUCGUCUUUA